AGGACCUGUGUGUGUCUGUAUCUAUCUUGUAUCUGUCUAUAUUUAUAGACAGUAUAAAUUUUAAUACAUUUCUAUCCAUAUAUUUAGACACAGAUAUUUACACACUGUAAAUAUUAAUGCACACAUAUCUACACAAUGAUGUUAACUUUGUGUCCAGACCUACCCCUUCCAUUCUGUAACCUUUUUGGGAGGUUUGUUCCUUAGGAUUUCCAGGGUCUCACUUUCAGUGGAGCAGAUCUUUCCCACCUGGAUCUUUGCUGCAUCAACGUCAAGGUGGCCAAUCUGAGCCGCUGCAACCUGGCCCGUGCCAACCUGUGCUGUGCCAGCCUGGAGAGGGCUGACCUGUCAGGCUCUGUGCUGGAUGGAAGAGCUGCUGCAGCCUGGGAGGGCUGGGCUUGUGUUGACAGAGAGGAGCUGGAACAAACAGAGCGGUGUAAAACAUGGAGUUCUUAAAUAUAUUCUAGAGUUGUUCUGGUUCCCAAAGCUUUUACACUUCCUCCCAGUAAUGAUUUAAUGGGAUUGACUCCCAAAGCAGAAAUUAAAAGUGUCUUCUUGAUUGUCUUUGGUGUUGUUCUUCCAGCCCUCACCCACUCCUGUCUGUGCCAGUGUGCCAACCUGCCAGGGGUGAAGAUGCUGCGCUCCAACGCAGAGGGAGCGUCCCUGAAAGGCUGCAACUCUGAGGACCCAUCAGGCCUUAAAGCUAAUCUGGAAGGUGCCAGCCUGAAAGGAGUGGCCAUGGAGGGCAGACAGAUGACAGGAAUUAACCUCCGAGUUGCAACGCUGAGAAACACCAAACUAAAGAACUGUAACCUCAGGGGAGCAACGUUGGCAGGAACUGAUUUGGAAGUGAGUUGGGAUUCAUUUUCCAUCCUAUUCCUUUCUCUCCUAUGGUCAGCUGGUAACUGGGGGGAUUGCUGGCUUUUGGCUGACCUCUCCAGCUUCAGAGUACAAUGGAGUUCAGGUUGUGACCUCCAGGAAGCCAAUUUGAGGGGCUCUGAUGUGAAAGGAGCCAUCUCUGAAGAGAUGCUGACCCCCCUGCACAUGUCCCAGAGCGUCAGAUAGGGAAGAGAAGACGUCGGAGAGGAAGGAAUCCAAAUAUUUGUUGUGACUUUCUUCACCUCCUCCCCUUCC
Long non-coding RNA from Pseudopipra pipra, 1131 nucleotides. RefSeq lists it as uncharacterized. Lineage: Eukaryota; Metazoa; Chordata; Aves; Passeriformes; Pipridae. The transcript is spliced from 3 exons. The record is from RefSeq and is a predicted model, not a curated record.